Molecule: long non-coding RNA, 1203 nt
Filed under: Strigops habroptila (Kakapo)
Lineage: Eukaryota; Metazoa; Chordata; Aves; Psittaciformes; Psittacidae
Description: lncRNA (ENSSHBG00005009494.1)
Source: RNAcentral
UUCUCUGUAUUUUCAAACUUUAAAAGUGAAGCUCAUCUUAAAAUUCAGGGGAAAAACCCAAACAAAAAACAGUUUUAGACAUUUUGCUAAUAUACAUGGGGGGCAGGGGGCACGGGACACACACAAAAUCAGUUGUUGCCACAACCACGGCCAUCCAUAUUUAAGUUUCUUCAUACUCCAAACAAACAGCAAAAGACAGCAAUUUCAAGUACAUUUUUAAUACCAGAAUUUCACUUAGACUACACAGGUAAUAGUCUUAGCAAAUGGAAGAGUGGUACUGUAACUUAAAACCACAGUCUGAAACUAUUACAUACUUCUGAGAAUGAUAUGCCCAUUGUUUCCACUUAAAAGUAAACUAGUAGUUGUAAAGAGGAUGUUAAAUAUUCCUGGGAAUUUAUGCCUCUCCACUUUACAUAUACUUAUUAGAGCAGCAGUACCUCAUUAUAUAUUUCCCUGUACCUCGAAUUAGUGUAACUGGACAAGCUCCAUUUACUUUAAUGCAGCAUUAAGCAAUGCAUUAAUCCAAAAUGGCCAACAACUCAGAGUCACAAAAUGUAACAUCAGCACUGUGAUCCUCCCUCUAGGUAGCUGGUAUAGUAAAAUCUGUAUUUAAAGUACCAAGAAUAAGAUAGUUCUGAGAUCAUAGUAGGAUCACUGCAAAAAUACAUGCAUCUAAGCAAGCGCUUCAGCAAUCGUUUAUUCAGAACUAAUCCUGUGCCAUGAAAACAGUUGCUUAUAAUUACACAGUCAGGCACAUAUUUUCAUCAAGUACAGUGGUAGAUUAGAAUAAAUACAAUUUAUUGCUUUGAACCAAAGACCAGAAUUGUUGCCAACUGCUUCAAUAUUUCAAGUAAGUCUACAGAAAACAUGGGAGAAGGCUGAAGUGUGAGCUCAGAAAUAAUGAAGUAAUUAAUUUUCCUUAACCUCUUCUCCACAUAACUCAUUAUAAACAUACUAAUGAAGAUAAAUACUUUUCUCUCCCCUGCACUCUUGUUUUAUUUUUUGGAUGCUGAAGAAUAUCAGGAGGAAAUAAUGCUAUACCAUUCUAUCAUUUCAUUUUGUAAAAGGGUCUGAAACAUAUUCUAGUUUCAUCAUAAAAUUGAGCCAAACUAAACAUGCGGCUCAUGAUCAUGUAAUAGUAUCGAGGACUCCCCGUACAAACAAUCCGGGCUUGUGUUCCAGACAAGUUUUGCCAAAUACGCA